This 234-nucleotide ribosomal RNA is filed under the name uncultured bacterium. RNAcentral's name for it is "partial small subunit ribosomal RNA". It matches the Rfam family "Bacterial small subunit ribosomal RNA", at positions 27 to 288 of the family's 1533-position model. The record is from RNAcentral.
GGAACGAACGCUGGCGGCAGGCCUAAUACAUGCAAGUCGAACGCACUCUUCGGAGUGAGUGGCAGACGGGUGAGUAACGCGUGGGAACCUUCCUUGUAGUACGGAAUAACUCCGGGAAACCGGUGCUAAUACCGUAUACGCCCUCCGGGGGAAAGAUUUAUCGCUACAAGAUGGGCCCGCGUUGGAUUAGCUAGUUGGUAGGGUAAUGGCCUACCAAGGCUACGAUCCAUAGCU